Molecule: transfer RNA, 77 nt
Filed under: Serratia marcescens VGH107
Lineage: Bacteria; Pseudomonadati; Pseudomonadota; Gammaproteobacteria; Enterobacterales; Yersiniaceae
Description: tRNA-Asp
Rfam family: tRNA
About the family: Transfer RNA (tRNA) molecules are approximately 80 nucleotides in length.
Source: RNAcentral
GGAGCGGUAGUUCAGUUGGUUAGAAUUCCUGCCUGUCACGCAGGGGGUCGCGGGUUCGAGCCCCGUCCGUUCCGCCA